GCCCUUGUAGCUCAGGGGUUAGAGUAUGGCCUUCGUAGGAGGUCAGGUUAGGGUCCAUGGUUCAAAUCCAUGCUGGGGCA
RNAcentral lists this transfer RNA (80 nucleotides) under Cryptococcus deneoformans B-3501A. RNAcentral's name for it is "tRNA-Thr". It matches the Rfam family "tRNA". Rfam says of the family: Transfer RNA (tRNA) molecules are approximately 80 nucleotides in length. Their secondary structure includes four short double-helical elements and three loops (D, anti-codon, and T loops). Lineage: Eukaryota; Fungi; Basidiomycota; Tremellomycetes; Tremellales; Cryptococcaceae. The record is from RNAcentral.